Molecule: ribosomal RNA, 364 nt
Filed under: Knorella gigantochloae
Lineage: Eukaryota; Metazoa; Arthropoda; Arachnida; Trombidiformes; Eriophyidae
Description: partial small subunit ribosomal RNA
Source: RNAcentral
CUUGAGGCAAGAGUGACGGGCGAUUUGUGCAUAGUCAGUGUCAUAUUUCAAAACAAAAUUUUAUUAUAGUUUUUAUUAUUAAGUCCUUUUUCUCUCUACUCCCUUGACUGUUCUAAUUUUUUUAUUCUUUGUAUCCCAUACUAUUUCCUCUAUAUUUUCUCUGUCUUGAUUUAUAUUAUAAUAGAAUAAAUAUUUUUCAUAAAAAUCUUUGAAUUUUUAUUUUAUACAAUGAUAUAGAGAAUGAUAAUAAAGGUACCUUUUAUCGUGGGUUAUCUAUUAUAAGACAGGAUCCCCUAUAUUGUCUGAUUACCGCCAUUAUAUUUAACUUUCUUUUAUUUAAAUACUUAUUUUAAUUUUAUUAGAA